AGUUUGAUCCUGGCUCAAAACGAACGCUGGCGGCAUGCCUAACACAUGCAAGUCAAACGAGGCCCUUCGGGGUUUAGGGGCGCACGGGUGCGUAACGCGGGGAAACCUGCCCUUUGGUUCGAAAUAACAGCUGGAAACGGCUGCUAAUACCGGAUGAUGACAAGAGUCCAAAAAUUUAUCGCCAGAGGAUGACCCCGCGUUGGAUUAGGUAGUUGGGGGGGUAAAGGCCUACCAAGCCAACAAUCCAUAGCUGGUCUGAGAGGAUGAUCACCCACACUGGGACUGAAACACGGCCCAAACUCCUACGGGAGGCAGCAGUGGGAAAUAUUGGACAAGGGGCGCAAGCCUGAUCCAGCAAUGCCGCGUGAGUGAUGAAGGCCCUAGGGUUGUAAAGCUCUUUUACCCGGAAAAAUAAUGACUGUACCGGGAGAAUAAGCCCCGGCUAACUCCGUG
RNAcentral lists this ribosomal RNA (453 nucleotides) under uncultured bacterium. RNAcentral describes it as "bacterial SSU rRNA". It matches the Rfam family "Bacterial small subunit ribosomal RNA", at positions 10 to 507 of the family's 1533-position model. The record is from RNAcentral.